GGAGAGUUGCCGGAGUGGUUGAACGGGGCGGUCUCGAAAACCGUUGUCCCGAUUUUCGGGACCCAGGGUUCGAACCCCUGACUCUCCGCCA
Molecule: transfer RNA, 91 nt
Filed under: Candidatus Cloacimonadota bacterium
Lineage: Bacteria; Pseudomonadati; Candidatus Cloacimonadota
Description: tRNA-Ser
Rfam family: tRNA
About the family: Transfer RNA (tRNA) molecules are approximately 80 nucleotides in length. Their secondary structure includes four short double-helical elements and three loops (D, anti-codon, and T loops). Further hydrogen bonds mediate the characteristic L-shaped molecular structure. tRNAs have two regions of fundamental functional importance: the anti-codon, which is responsible for specific mRNA codon recognition, and the 3' end, to which the tRNAs corresponding amino acid is attached (by aminoacyl-tRNA synthetases). tRNAs cope with the degeneracy of the genetic code in two manners: having more than one tRNA (with a specific anti-codon) for a particular amino acid; and 'wobble' base-pairing, i.e. permitting non-standard base-pairing at the 3rd anti-codon position.
Source: RNAcentral